This 492-nucleotide ribosomal RNA is filed under the name uncultured bacterium. Its description in RNAcentral is "partial 16S ribosomal RNA". It matches the Rfam family "Bacterial small subunit ribosomal RNA", at positions 29 to 507 of the family's 1533-position model. The record is from RNAcentral.
AGUGAACGCUGGCGGUAGGCCUAACACAUGCAAGUCGAACGGCAGCACAGUAAGAGCUUGCUCUUACGGGUGGCGAGUGGCGGACGGGUGAGGAAUACAUCGGAAUCUACUUUUUCGUGGGGGAUAACGUAGGGAAACUUACGCUAAUACCGCAUACGACCUACGGGUGAAAGCAGGGGAUCUUCGGACCUUGCGCGAUUGAAUGAGCCGAUGUCGGAUUAGCUAGUUGGCGGGGUAAAGGCCCACCAAGGCGACGAUCCGUAGCUGGUCUGAGAGGAUGAUCAGCCACACUGGAACUUGGACACGGUCCAGGCUCCUACGGGAGGCAGCAGUGUGGAAUAUUGGACAAUGGGCGCAAGCCUGAUCCAGCCAUACCGCGUGUGUGAAGAAGGCCUUCGGGUUGUAAAGCCCUUUUGUUGGGAAAGAAAAGCAGCAGGUUAAUACCCCGCUGUUCUGACGGUACCCAAAGAAUAAGCACCGGCUAACUUCGUG